RNAcentral lists this long non-coding RNA (348 nucleotides) under Elaeis guineensis (African oil palm). RNAcentral describes it as "long non-coding RNA (EGUI_LNC063435)". Lineage: Eukaryota; Viridiplantae; Streptophyta; Magnoliopsida; Arecales; Arecaceae. The record is from RNAcentral.
UAAAGUAGAAGUCCUCUAAUGGUGAUCCACAUAGGAUUGAUCAAGGUCCUUUCCAACUCGACAUGGUAUUGUAGCCUUCUUCAUAAGUGCAUUGCUGAUUGUCCUUCGCAAGAACAGGUUGCACCAACACAUGUAUGCCUUCAUGACCUUUACUAGUAUCACUUUAGAAAUUCUUUCCCAAAGUAUCAUUCCACACAAAAAUAAAUCAGGUAUUCAACACUUGAACAACUUGAUUUUUUGGACAAGCAUCACAUGCUUUCCAAUUUCCAUCUCCCUUUUUUUUCUAUUUUUUCUCCAUCUCUUCUUACAUUUUUUCCUAGACUUUUUUUUGUCUUUAUUCUCUCAUUC